RNAcentral lists this ribosomal RNA (591 nucleotides) under uncultured archaeon. RNAcentral describes it as "bacterial SSU rRNA". It matches the Rfam family "Archaeal small subunit ribosomal RNA", at positions 334 to 928 of the family's 1478-position model. The record is from RNAcentral.
AGCAGGCGCGCAAACUUUACAAUGCGAGCAAUCGUGAUAAGGAACCCCUGAGUGCCUGUCGAUGCAGGCUGUUCAUAUAUCUAAAAUCAUAUGUGAAGAAAGGGCAGGGCAAGACCGGUGCCAGCCGCCGCGGUAAUACCGGCUGCUCGAGUGAUGGCCACUAUUACUGGGUUUAAAGCGUCCGUAGCUUGACUGUUAGGUCUCUUGGGAAAUCUUCGCGCUCAACGUGAAGGCGUCUAAGAGAUACCGGCAGUCUUGGAACUGGGAGAGGUAAACCGUACUUCGGGGGUAGGAGUGAAAUCUUGUAAUCCUCGAGGGACGACCUAUGGCGAAGGCAGUUUACCAGAACAGCUUCGACAGUGAGGGACGAAAGCUGAGGGAGCAAACGGGAUUAGAUACCCCGGUAGUCCCAGCCGUAAACAAUGUGCGUUAGGUGUGUCGGUAACCACGUGUUACUGAUGCGCCGAAGAGAAAUCGUGAAACGCACCACCUGGGAAGUACGGUCGCAAGGCUGAAACUUAAAGGAAUUGGCGGGGGAGCACCACAACAGGUGGAGCCUGCGGUUUAAUUGGAUUCAACGCCGGGAAGGGC